GCUGGGCAUGGUGGCACAUGCCUGUAAUCCCAGUGACUGGGGAGGCUGAGGCAGGAGGAUUGGAAGUUCAAAGCCAGCCUCAGCAACUUAGUGAGGUACUAAGCAACUCAGUGAGACCCUGUCUCUA
This 127-nucleotide small RNA is filed under the name Marmota monax (woodchuck). The record is from RNAcentral. Lineage: Eukaryota; Metazoa; Chordata; Mammalia; Rodentia; Sciuridae.